Molecule: ribosomal RNA, 375 nt
Filed under: uncultured bacterium
Lineage: Bacteria
Description: bacterial SSU rRNA
Rfam family: Bacterial small subunit ribosomal RNA
Source: RNAcentral
AUACGUAGGGGGCAAGCGUUAUCCGGAAUCACUGGGUGUAAAGGGUGCGUAGGCGGUAGGGCAAGUCAGAUGUGAAAGCCCGGGGCUCAACUCCGGGACUGCAUUUGAAACUGUCUUACUAGAGUGCAGGAGAGGAAAGCGGAAUUCCUAGUGUAGCGGUGAAAUGCGUAGAUAUUAGGAAGAACACCAGUGGCGAAGGCGGCUUUCUGGACUGUAACUGACGCUGAGGCACGAAAGCGUGGGGAGCGAACAGGAUUAGAUACCCUGGUAGUCCACGCCGUAAACGAUGAGUGCUAGGUGUCGGGGCCGACAGGUCUCGGUGCUGAAGUUAACGCAUUAAGCACUCCACCUGGGGAGUACGAUCGCAAGAUUGAA